Vidua chalybeata is the source of this 183-nucleotide long non-coding RNA. RefSeq lists it as uncharacterized. Lineage: Eukaryota; Metazoa; Chordata; Aves; Passeriformes; Viduidae. The record is from RefSeq and is a predicted model, not a curated record. The transcript is spliced from 2 exons.
AUGGAAAGUGGUGAACAACAGGAUGGGGCUGGGGGACAAGAAAUAGUCGUGUAGAUAGUCAAAGAUAACUCUAGCUGGCCAUGAAGGAUGGAAAAAUGAGACACCCAAGGCAACCUGCCCUUAAUGACAAUGGUCCUGGACUACAAGGAGGAGCCCAAGAUUAAAUUUCUAGCAGGAACUUGC